This is a non-coding RNA of Myotis brandtii (Brandt's bat), 75 nucleotides long. NCBI's taxonomy places the organism in Eukaryota, Metazoa, Chordata, Mammalia, Chiroptera, Vespertilionidae. The record is from Rfam.
AGCAGUUCUCAGGUGACGCACCCCGGAAUCGGGCUUCCUCUUCUUUGGUUCCGGGUACAUCACCUGAGAACCGCA